Molecule: ribosomal RNA, 253 nt
Filed under: uncultured bacterium
Lineage: Bacteria
Description: partial 16S ribosomal RNA
Rfam family: Bacterial small subunit ribosomal RNA
Source: RNAcentral
UACGGAGGGUGCGAGCGUUAAUCGGAAUUACUGGGCGUAAAGCGCACGCAGGCGGUCUGUUAAGCUAGAAGUGAAAGCCCCGGGCUCAACCUGGGAAGGCCUUUUAGAACUGGCAGACUAGAGUCUUGGAGAGGGGAGUGGAAUUCCACGUGUAGCGGUGAAAUGCGUAGAUAUGUGGAGGAACAUCAGUGGCGAAGGCGACUCCCUGGCCAAAGACUGACGCUCAUGUGCGAAAGUGUGGGUAGCGAACAGG